AUGUUGGUGCAUUUGCAGGUCGAGUGCGCCGAGACUUUCGAGUCGGCGGCAUGAGUUCARUUUUGAGGCCAGCUUGCUGGUACCCGGAUUGGAGGAAUGUUGUUCGGUUUGGAUGUAAGAUGGGAAAGGCUCACGAGUUKGUAUGGGCACCGAGUUGGUCGGGGGUGGCAGUCGCAUGCGACAUGUACCUUUUGCCGAUUCGGUCCUGUGCCAGCUCACAAUCCCACUCUCGGCGUAAAAGUUGGUCAUCUAUCUGACCCGUCUUGAAACACGGACCAAGGAGUUUAUCGUGUGCGCAAGUCAUUGGGUGUUGAAAACCCAAAGGCGCAAUGAAAGUAAAGCAUCCGCAAGGGUGCGACGUGUGAUCCUGGCAAUCACGGUUGYCCGGAGCAACAUGGCCCCAUUCUGGCCGCUUGCGGCGGGGUGGAGGAAGAGCGUACGCGGUGAGACCCGAAAGAUGGU
Molecule: ribosomal RNA, 462 nt
Filed under: Pratylenchus sp. 1 WB-2017
Lineage: Eukaryota; Metazoa; Nematoda; Chromadorea; Rhabditida; Pratylenchidae
Description: eukaryotic LSU rRNA
Rfam family: Eukaryotic large subunit ribosomal RNA
Source: RNAcentral